CUAAUCUCAGAAUAGUUUUCAGAUAAGUGAAAUGCCACUCUUUUGCUUCUUCAAAAAAAAUUUAAUUAAAUGAUAAACUUUUGUUUUCCAGAUGUGACUGGUCAGCUGGAAGUUAAUAACAGUUACUUGUAUCAUAUGCUGUCUUGAUUGUACAAUGUCUAAAAGCAUUAUCCUGGUUCCUAUUUGGCAAUUUUUGUUCACAAACUAAACAGUUGUAAAUCUGUGAGACAGACUAAUAUGCUAACAUUGUUUGAACAAAAUUGCUAAUAGAAGUUGCCUGUAAUUUUUUUCACCUUCAGGAAGCAAACUUAAUUAGAAGACAAUAUGCCCCUAAGAGUAUCUCACUUCCUUAUCACUCUUAUUGAAAAGUUACUUUGAAAAAUAAAGAAUACACUAAAUGUUAAAGAAUAAACAUUUUAUAGCCAUGAAUACUGAUGAUGUAUGUAGAAUUGCAGGAACCCAAGUUGUGUAGUCUUCAAAACACUGAAAAUAUUUCAAUUACCCGUGUUUUCAUCUGGCAUUUUAAUGAGCUUUUCCUUGUCUCUGUCCAUUUUAUGACUUUGCUAUUGUAGGUCAUCUUGUGCUACAUGCAAAAUGGGUUUUAAAAGAUUCCAACAAUCUAUGUACCAAGGAAUAAAACACUGUG
This 646-nucleotide long non-coding RNA is filed under the name Bos taurus (domestic cattle). Its description in RNAcentral is "long non-coding RNA NONBTAT025109". The record is from RNAcentral. Lineage: Eukaryota; Metazoa; Chordata; Mammalia; Artiodactyla; Bovidae.